RNAcentral lists this ribosomal RNA (255 nucleotides) under uncultured bacterium. RNAcentral's name for it is "partial 16S ribosomal RNA". It matches the Rfam family "Bacterial small subunit ribosomal RNA", at positions 524 to 776 of the family's 1533-position model. The record is from RNAcentral.
UACAGAGGGUGCGAGCGUUGUUCGGAAUUACUGGGCGUAAAGCGCGCGCAGGCGGCCUUUUACGUCUACCCGUGAAAUGCCGGGGCUCAACUCCGUGCACGCCGGGGGAUACUGGGAGGCUGGAGACAGGUAGAGGCAAGCGGAAUUCCGGGUGUAGCGGUGGAAUGCGUAGAGAUCCGGAAGAACACCUGAGGCGAAGGCGGCUUGCUGGGCCUGGUCUGACGCUGAGGCGCGAGAGCGUGGGGAGCAAACAGG